RNAcentral lists this ribosomal RNA (301 nucleotides) under uncultured bacterium. RNAcentral's name for it is "partial 16S ribosomal RNA". It matches the Rfam family "Bacterial small subunit ribosomal RNA", at positions 509 to 807 of the family's 1533-position model. The record is from RNAcentral.
CAGUAGCCGCGGGAAUACGAAGGGGGCUAGCGUUGUUCGGAUUUAUUGGGCGUAAAGGGCUCGCAGGCGGUUUCUUAAGUCUGAUGUGAAAGCCCCCGGCUCAACCGGGGAGGGUCAUUGGAAACUGGGAAACUUGAGUGCAGAAGAGGAGAGUGGAAUUCCACGUGUAGCGGUGAAAUGCGUAGAGAUGUGGAGGAACACCAGUGGCGAAGGCGACUCUCUGGUCUGUAACUGACACUGAGGCACGAAAGCGUGGGGAGCAAACAGGAUUAGAUACCCCGGUAGUCCCUGUCUCUUAUAC